Long non-coding RNA from Lytechinus pictus (painted urchin), 5127 nucleotides. RefSeq lists it as uncharacterized. The transcript is spliced from 2 exons. The record is from RefSeq and is a predicted model, not a curated record. Lineage: Eukaryota; Metazoa; Echinodermata; Echinoidea; Temnopleuroida; Toxopneustidae.
ACACUGCACUCGACUCGUACUCCGAAGCGAAGCUUCUUUUGUUGGAGAAUAAAUACCGGUCUGUUAAACGUUGAUUUACAGAUGAUGGUGUAAAUUAGGAAAUAAUAAGAAACGAUGGAUAGAGCUGGAGAAGGACCUCUUUUGAGUAUUCAGCAAGUUUUCCAGCUCUCAUCUUAUGGAGUCAAAUCAGGGCAAGUAACAUUCCCUCGAGUGACGGCGUCAUCACAUCGAUGGAUCUGCUGCCGUCACACCAGCAAGAAGAAGAAGAGAGACAACUGCGUGACGGCCAUCAACCUGACGCGCCGGACGCCACGCGCCCUCACUUGGCCAUGUUCAGCGGAUUCGGCCAUGAUGAAUCCUCGCAAACCUUGGCUUGCUCUCAAAGGUACAUCCACUUUUGAAUUUAUCAGGUUCUCGUUAAAAUGCAUACAUGUAGCUUUAUUGAUUGAUCCUACAUAGAAUUUAAAAUUCUUCUUCUCACUUGGAAAGUUAUAAAUGGUAUGGCACCAAUAUAUUGACAACACCUUGUCAUGACCAUCUCUUAGCCUGAGAUCAUCACACCAGCAUCUCCUUAAGACUCCCAAAACAUGUAUAGGAUAUGGUGUGCGAGCUUUCUCUGCCUCAGCAUCUUCUCUCUUGAAUACAUGUAAUUUGCUGUUGAAUUUAAGAAUUAUAUCAUCACUGGAGACUUUCAAAUCUAUUAGCUUACCGGUAAGUCUUAUCUUUCCUAACAACAGUAACGUUAUUGGCACUUUGACACUCAUCCAAACUCUCUUAUUCUUUCUUUUUCUUUUGCGCCUCGGAAUAGAAUAUUUCUAGAUAGAUGGCGCUAUAUAAAUGCCUAUUAUCAUUAUUAAUUAUUAUGUCAGAUUUUCACUAUAAUGAUUAUGUAGUAGUUGAUGCUAUGAAAGCAUUGAGGUUUGGGCACUGGUUUAAUUAUUUGGGUUAUUCAGAACUACAUGUAGUUACAUUCAUUUAUCGAUACAAAACACGAUUAUAAUAUGUGAAUAGGACAACAAAGUCAUGGCAAUUUUCACAGACCCAAGGGAAGUCAAGCUUAUUAAAGGGUUCUCCAAAUUCAUCAUAUCAAAAGGUACAGAUUAUUAAACAAAGAAAUGCAAUUAAUAACUUGCUUGCUUUAAAAGGGAAAUCUAAAUUAAUUUUAGUAGAUCAAGCAGUUGUGUCAAACUGAAUUACAUGUAGCAAACUAUUACACUGAAACUAUGGGGUGACAUUCACUAAAAAUCUGUAUACCCUGAAAGUUCCUUAUUGCAAAGAUACAUGUAUGUUAUGCAUUAGUCUGAAAAUAAAAAAGGUUAAUCCAAACAGUUAAUGUAUGUUCCAUUAGUUUAUUAAUCCAACAGUGAAAUAAAGUUUUGUUCAUUUCGUUGGUAUGAAAGAAUAAUUUCAGUUAAAUCCGUUUUUUUUCACCAUUUGCUUUGUCGUUUUGUAAAAAACAAAACUAAUAUCAACAUACAAUAUUGCAAUAAUAUUUUUUGCAACCUGAAAAUGAAGUAUAGGGGUGUAUGUUUAUUUUGAUUUCCAUUGGAUUUGGAAUGAUUAAUGUCAACCUACAGUUUCCUCAUCGGUAAACAACUCAUGAAAACAAUAAUAAUAGUUCAAUUUUACAUAUAACAUAGCUAUGUGCAAACUGCAAAGUAAUAGAACUUUAUUAUGAAGUUCUGUAGUUUGGCAAUGAGUUUAGAUAGUGGAGGAAGGUGUUUGUUUGUGCUUGUGAUUUGUGAAUUAUUGUUUAUAAUGCGUCUAGAUAUCUUUUGUUUGAAUUUCCAAAAAGAUAACCACAUGUAUUUGUCUCAAUUCUGCUGAAAAUCACAUGAACUGCAGAAAGAAGUGAAUGUGCAUAAAAUGUCAGCCUGGUACAUUGUACAGUAUACAUACUAUUUGGGUAUCUGGAGAGCAUUUGAAAUGUAACUUUAAAAAAUAUAUUCCUAAAUACUGAACAGGAAGAAAUUAAUCAUUUCGAGUUUGAAAUUCACAACGAUUUUUGAUAGUAGGAAAAUCCUUAUAUAUUCAAAACCAUUUCUGAAUUCAUGGGAUUGGCUUAAAAUUAAUCUUCAUCUGCAGCUAUUGGGUAUCAAAUGCUGUAAGAAAUGUGUUCGUCAAACGGUCAAAGAACAUUUUUUGAAAGAAGAAUGAAAACAUUACUGAGAGUGACAUCCUCAAAUGUAAAAUUCAAAUUUUUACAAAUAAUUAAGGGAUGAAAUAAAAUAUUGUAUUCACUUCACUUUUGUAAGAUUUGAAAGUUUGAUGAUACACCACUAUGUAAUUCACAUUAUUGAACCUCUACCAAAGCUCUAGGCAGUUUUUUUUUAUGGGAGUUUCCCUUUAUACAGCAGUGUACAACUGUACAUGUACCUUUUACAAACGAACAUGCGUAAAUCAACGUAUUAAACUUCAUUCUAAUCUAAAUGCAAAUUAAAUUGUUAUCGUGUUUGUGUGAGGUACAUGUAUCAAGUAGCCUUGUCCGUUACGCAACUCUCCAUACUGGUUGGCUGAUGACUAAGACAGGAAAGCUCUCAAUUAAAGCACUGCCGGCUGAUUCUAUGUUCAUUAAUUACCUCAUGUCGCAGUUCGUCAAUAUGAUGGAGUGAUAUUGACUUCAGCAAUGGUAUUGAUUGGUGAUUUUCAUUUCAUAUACUAGUACGCCUGGUAUUCAUAUUAAACUGAAUUGAAUGUAUGCGUGGACAUAAUCAAAUUAAAAAAUGAAAACAAAAAAUCGAAUGUAUAUGUUCACAAGACUGACAAGAGAUUCAAAAAAAUUUCAGGAAAUAAUUUCUAAUAAUAAAGUGACAUCUUGUGAAAUUCCCAUCUUAAAACAAAAUGAAGUUUCAGUAGGCCCGCAGUACGUACAAAGUGGAAGCAGUCCCAUAACAUGUAGAGAGACACUAGGUACAUUGUGUCUGUCUGUCAGGAACCAUAUGUGUACUGCAUAUAGUCGUGUUGUGAAUAAUGAUAAAUCCAUAUCAUAUCUAUACCUAGUACUGAUUAUUCAUGAUUCAAAUGAUGAAUGAAUUAAAAAAGCAUAAAUUCUACCACAGCAAACUUGCUGUUAAUGAUAUAAAAUCAGCUCUCAAAUGUUGUUGCAUUCUUAAAAUUGUCAAAACACACCUGGGGUGGCAAACAUGGAUGUACAUGAACCAUUAAAAUAUGAUGUAACUAGUGGCAGUACAUGUAGUGUAAUAAAAAUACAUGCACAUGUAGGUCACAUUUUCUCACAAACAUGACAGCCUUCAUCCUUGCAUGCAUUUGAUAGGCCUUGGCAAAGGUUUAGUGCGCACACAACUGUGACGAUGACCUCUACUAAAUAGUGCACAAGACCACAUAACUCCCUACAGUAUCAUCUAUCACAAGACAGUGUACAGUAGCUUAUUAAAGAUGGGAGAGUGAUGUUUGUCACUCUCUGGCUGCAUUCAGACACCACUUUUUACCACAGAAACAUGGUUUUCAAAAUGUUCAUUAAGCUGGUAUGGUUGUGUUCUGUGAUUUUUACUCUCUAAUAUACAUGUAUUCCAUUCUAAUUUAAGCAAUUUCAAGCAAAUUCAAGUUCAAUGUUUUCAAAUUUCAAAAGAAUUAUUUUUAAAUGGUACAUAAACAUAUAUAUGUACAAAUAGUUUCUGACCAACUGGCAAAUUAUCAGAAAAUGUAAUUUUUCAAAAACAAAGGCAAGAGUUAAGACAUGCAUACAAAUUAUAACAUGAGUACACAACAAUUUUAUAGUUUGAUUAUACAGGUAUAUAUAGUCUCGUAGGACUAAUUUUUUUUUUGGGAGGGGGGGGGUGGUUCAUCAACAAGAACAAUGUACAUGUACCAUUUAAGUACAUUAUGUAUGCAUGUUUCAUGCCUAUAGCAAUUGGCGAUUAAGCCAAUCAAGAUAGUAACCUGGUUAGCAGUGUGUUCAUUAGUCAUGCUAGAUUGUAUGACUACAUGAAGUGUUUCAUCAGUUUAGACAGUAAUGAGAUUUCAGCCUUCUUCACACAAUAAUCUUUUACCUCAGUAUUCUGGAACAUUUUAAUAUCCUUGAUACCCCUUUCAUAAACCCAAUUGUGCGGAUAAUAUCCGCAUAAUUUGGUCGUAAAAUCGGAGCGGGACCAGAAUUAUCCGCAUUAUUUCGAUGCUGCAAUUAUCCGCAUAAUAGCGGCAUCGGGACCAGAUUUUGACUUUAUGAACGCAUUUCCAAACUAAUGCGGAUAAUUGCCAUGGUGCGGUCACAAGGUCACCUUUUUCCAACACAACCCCAUCGGAGGGGGGUGUGUGCAGUUGCCAUGACAAUUAUCCGCCUUUUUCAGGUCGGGCGCUCGUAAAAAAUAGUGCGGAUUAUUUUCGGAGUUUGUGAAUGCAAUUUUUAUUGAAUUAUCCGCAUUACUCUUAGGCGGAUAAUUGGAGGAUGGGUGUAUGAAAGGGGUAUUAGAUAUCUACAUACUGUAUGUACAUUCUACUUCUACUGCAAGUAAAUUAUAAAAUAUUUUAUAUAUUUUUGUCAUUUAUAAGAUUUCAUUCUAUGCUAGUCAGCAUACAUGUAGUUCGAUUAAGAUUUUUUUUUUUAUUCGAUCAUAGUUUACCUAUUCUUUUGCAAUGCUGUGAAUGUGCAUUACUGCUUUACAUACUGUAUGGUAUGCACUAGUACAGUCUUAUUUUUGUGCUGUAUAUUAUGUACUGUAGUUCAUCAUAGCAUGUAGGCCUAUACAUGUGUGGAGAGAGAGUAGGAGAGAUCUGUGGGAGGGGGUUUUAUAGAUGAUUUGAAAUCCCUGACUAUCUGUCAUAUCCUGUUCUAAAUUUAUCCUAAACGUAGUGCUUUUGCCUUCCCCUUCUGCAAAGCAAGGUUACUGGAUAGUUGAAAUCCUUUGUAUACUGGGUGUAAAAUGAGUACAAAUAUCAAGGAACAGAGGAUAUGUUUCUACUUCUUCAUUUACAUUACAUGUACAUGUACAGUGCUAUUAGGGAUUUUUGCCCCUACAAAACAUAUAGUAUGAUGUGCAUACUGUAGAAAAAGAAACCAGGAAACAGAAUUCUGCAGUUUCCCUUCAGCAAUAAUUGAAGUGUUCUUUAAAAGUUGGAAUUCAAUCAAUUAGUAGGCCCUUACAGCCUGUUCACAAAAAUAAAUAAAUA